Molecule: microRNA, 22 nt
Filed under: Mus musculus (house mouse)
Lineage: Eukaryota; Metazoa; Chordata; Mammalia; Rodentia; Muridae
Description: mmu-miR-6401
Source: miRBase by way of RNAcentral
UUACACUCCAGUGGUGUCGGGU